This 425-nucleotide ribosomal RNA is filed under the name Actinomyces sp. oral taxon B78. RNAcentral's name for it is "bacterial SSU rRNA". It matches the Rfam family "Bacterial small subunit ribosomal RNA", at positions 30 to 435 of the family's 1533-position model. The record is from RNAcentral. Lineage: Bacteria; Bacillati; Actinomycetota; Actinomycetes; Actinomycetales; Actinomycetaceae.
CGAACGCUGGCGGCGUGCUUAACACAUGCAAGUCGAACGGUGAAGGGACCGGCUUUUGCUGGUUCUGGAUGAGUGGCGAACGGGUGAGUAACACGUGAGUAACCUGCCCCCUUCUUCUGGAUAACCGCAUGAAAGUGUGGCUAAUACGGGAUAUUCUGGGUCUGUCGCAUGGCGGGUCUGGGAAAGAUGCGCCUUUGGGUGUUUUUGGUGGGGGAUGGGCUCGCGGCCUAUCAGCUUGUUGGUGGGGUGAUGGCCUACCAAGGCGGUGACGGGUAGCCGGCCUGAGAGGGUGGACGGUCACACUGGGACUGAGACACGGCCCAGACUCCUACGGGAGGCAGCAGUGGGGAAUAUUGCACAAUGGGCGCAAGCCUGAUGCAGCGACGCCGCGUGAGGGAUGGAGGCCUUCGGGUUGUAAACCUCUU